AAAAACAUUUCUUAUAAAUUUUUAUAAGUAAAAUCUGCUCCAUGAUUCAUAAAUAGCCGCAGAAUUUUAACUGUGCUAAGGUAGCAUAAUCAUUUACCUUUUAAUUAAAGGUUUGUAUGAACGAUUUUACAAUUAAAUUACUUUUUUAUAAAUAUUUAUCAAAUUUAAAUUAAAAAUAAAAAUGUUUUUAUAAAAAAAAAAGACGAUAAGACCCUAUUGAACUUUACUAACGUUUAGCUGGGGAAGCUAGUUAAAUAUAAUUUUAAUUAAUAAUAUUAUUUAUAUACCUAAUAAAGUUAUUCUAAACAAGUUACCAUAGGGAUAACAGCGUAAUAUAAUUUUAAAGCUCAUAUUAAAAAUUAAGCUUACGACCUCGAUGUUGAAUU
RNAcentral lists this ribosomal RNA (386 nucleotides) under Walckenaeria clavicornis. Its description in RNAcentral is "partial 16S ribosomal RNA". Lineage: Eukaryota; Metazoa; Arthropoda; Arachnida; Araneae; Linyphiidae. The record is from RNAcentral.